RNAcentral lists this transfer RNA (70 nucleotides) under Figites sp. ZJUH 20220010. RNAcentral describes it as "tRNA-Tyr". Lineage: Eukaryota; Metazoa; Arthropoda; Insecta; Hymenoptera; Figitidae. The record is from RNAcentral.
AGUAAUAUGUCUGAUUUAAGUAAUAAAUUGUAAAUUUAUUUAAGAAUAUAAUAAUAAUAUUCUAUUACUA